RNAcentral lists this ribosomal RNA (570 nucleotides) under Russula sp. Its description in RNAcentral is "partial small subunit ribosomal RNA". It matches the Rfam family "Bacterial small subunit ribosomal RNA", at positions 357 to 966 of the family's 1533-position model. The record is from RNAcentral. Lineage: Eukaryota; Fungi; Basidiomycota; Agaricomycetes; Russulales; Russulaceae.
AAAAAUAUUAGUCAAUGCUCGAAAGAGUGAACUAGCUAACUGAAAUCAAUUAUAAAAUUGAUAACAUAAGGGAAAAUAAUGAUAUUACCUUAUUAUUAGUGUCGUCCAAAUCUGGUGCCAGAAGACUCGGUAAGGCCAGAGACACAAACGUUAAUCGUCUUAAUCAGGCGUAAAGGGUUUGUAGGCGGCUUUUAAAUUUACUUAUAAUUCUAAAACAAAGAUAAAUAAGUUAAGAAUAAAAGCUAGAAUCAAAUAGAGGAUAUAUCAAAUAAUGCUUAGAGUAGGUCUGAUAUCCUUAAAUACUAAGUAGAAUAUUAAAGGCGAAAGCUUUUUUCCAUUAAUGAUUGACGCUCAGAAACGAAAGUGAGGAUAGGGAAUAGGAUUAGAGACCCCAAAUACCCCUCUCUGUCAACGAUGAAUGGUAGUUAUUAGUAAUAAAUUUAUUAAUGGCAAUGUUAACACGAUAACCAUUCCGCCUUGUGAGUACAACUGCAAAGUUGAAAACAAAAAAAUUAGUCGGUUUCGGAGCAAACGAAGUGAAGCAUGUUAUUUAAUUCGAAUAAUCCGCAA